Molecule: long non-coding RNA, 802 nt
Filed under: Gossypium barbadense (sea-island cotton)
Lineage: Eukaryota; Viridiplantae; Streptophyta; Magnoliopsida; Malvales; Malvaceae
Description: long non-coding RNA (GBAR_LNC013611)
Source: RNAcentral
AGCUGCAACGGUAGAAGACUGAGAAAUCAGAGCCGGAGCGGAGGGCCACCGCUUGGUGCUUUUGGGGUCCGGCGGUGUUCUCAAAAGUGAUGUCACGAGCUAUGAAUCCAUCACCAACGACGGCUGAAAGAAGAAACAAACGAACGAUGUGAGCAGUCAAAUGAUAGGUUGAAAACAAGGAAAAAGCAAAAGCACUAAUUUUUUUCUCACGUUUUUACUGUUAUAUUUUCUCCUUUUAGUUGUGUAAAGAACUGUGGUGUUGGUGAAAUGGGAGACAUAAAAAUAUCCAACUAAUUAGAAAAAAAGAUAGUCGUGUUUUUACUAUUCAAAAAAGAAUAAAAGAACAAAUUGAGUGUAGAUAAUUUGCAAGAGUGUGUUUUAAUUUGUUAUUCAAAUCAUGUUUCCUUUUCCUCACUUUCUCCCUUAAUUUAGGAUAACUUUAUGUUUUUGUCUAAGUUUAGAAUGUGACUUUGAAAUAAUUUAUACAUGUUGCUUACCAAAUGUUGCUGUGCGAAAAGUUGUCGUAGUUUGAGCAUUCUUAUUACCAGUAACGACCGUGGCACCAAUUCCAUCUCCAAUUAACAUGAUAUUUCUAGCUGAUCUUUGAAUAUCAACAUUCUCAUUGUAAACUCCAGCUUUUACGUGUAUGACAGUUCUUUUGGCACCGCCAGCCGCCGCCACCGCCUCUGAUAUAGUCUUGAAGUUGCCAGAACCGUCUUGAGCCACCACAAUGUCAGCAUUUAACGGUGCACCGAUUUUUUGCAAGAGCUUUCGGUCGGAACCGGAAAGCCAAGUGGGGAAU